Molecule: ribosomal RNA, 258 nt
Filed under: uncultured bacterium
Lineage: Bacteria
Description: partial 16S ribosomal RNA
Rfam family: Bacterial small subunit ribosomal RNA
Source: RNAcentral
UACGUAGGGUGCAAGCGUUUAAUCGGAAUUACUGGGCGUAAAGCGUGCGCAGGCGGUUUUGUAAGUCUGUCGUGAAAUCCCCGGGCUCAACCUGGGAAUUGCGAUGGAGACUGCAAGGCUGGAGUCUGGCAGAGGGGGGGUAGAAUUCCACGUGUAGCAGUGAAAUGCGUAGAGAUGUGGAGGAACACCGAUGGCGAAGGCAGCCCCCCUGGGUCAAGACUGACGCUCAUGCACGAAAGCGUGGGGGAGCAAACAAGG